Molecule: transfer RNA, 70 nt
Filed under: Bos taurus (domestic cattle)
Lineage: Eukaryota; Metazoa; Chordata; Mammalia; Artiodactyla; Bovidae
Also listed under: 3 other names
Rfam family: tRNA
About the family: Transfer RNA (tRNA) molecules are approximately 80 nucleotides in length. Their secondary structure includes four short double-helical elements and three loops (D, anti-codon, and T loops).
Source: Rfam by way of RNAcentral
UCCCUGGUGGCUCAGAGGUUAGAGUCUGCCUGCAAUGCAGGAGACCUGGGUUCGAUCCCUGGGUUGGGAA